Molecule: RNase P RNA, 297 nt
Filed under: Candidatus Bathyarchaeota archaeon
Lineage: Archaea; Thermoproteati; Candidatus Bathyarchaeota
Description: RNase P RNA component
Rfam family: Archaeal RNase P
About the family: Ribonuclease P (RNase P) is a ubiquitous endoribonuclease, found in archaea, bacteria and eukarya as well as chloroplasts and mitochondria.
Source: RNAcentral
AUGAGUCGGUGAGCAGCUGACGGUCCCCUAGUUGGGGCUGAGGAAACUCCACUCACCAUACAGAACCGCGAUGUCGUGAGGCAUAGGGCGAGAGCUCGGACAACAGAGCAGAAACGCGACGUCCAUCAGCUAGAUGACGAGGAUACGUUCCAACGUUGAGGAAGUUGAUGGUUUCGAUGAAACGGCUGAUCCGCGGGGUGCAAGGGCAAAUAGGCGCUGAUGAAUUCUGUAUGAAGCGCGGGUAGCCUGCUUAGCUGAAUGCUGCUUAAAACAGAAAGUGGGUUACGGCCGACACAU